UACAGAGGUCUCAAGCGUUGUUCGGAUUCAUUGGGCGUAAAGGGUGCGUAGGCGGCGCGGUAAGUCGGGUGUGAAAUCUUGGAGCUUAACUCCGAAACUGCAUUCGAUACUGCCGUGCUUGAGGACUGGAGAGGAGACUGGAAUUUACGGUGUAGCGGUGAAAUGCGUAGAUAUCUGGAGGAACACCGGUGGCGAAGGCGGCAUCCUGGACCGACACUGACGCUGAGGAGCGAAAGCGUGGGGAGCAAACAGG
RNAcentral lists this ribosomal RNA (253 nucleotides) under uncultured bacterium. Its description in RNAcentral is "partial 16S ribosomal RNA". It matches the Rfam family "Bacterial small subunit ribosomal RNA", at positions 524 to 776 of the family's 1533-position model. The record is from RNAcentral.